RNAcentral lists this ribosomal RNA (505 nucleotides) under uncultured bacterium. RNAcentral describes it as "partial 16S ribosomal RNA". It matches the Rfam family "Bacterial small subunit ribosomal RNA", at positions 28 to 507 of the family's 1533-position model. The record is from RNAcentral.
GACGAACGCUGGCGGCGUGCCUAAUACAUGCAAGUCGAACGCACAGUUUAUACUGUAGCUUGCUACACCAUAGACGGUGAGUUGCGAACGGGGGAGUAACGCUUAGGUAACCUGCCUGGUAGCUGGGGAUAACUAUUGGAAACGAUAGCUAGUACCGCAUCAUAUUGAUUAUUGCAUGAUAAUUUAUUGAAAGGUGCAAUUGCCCCACUACCAGAUGGCCCUGCGUUGUAUUAGCUAGUAGGUGAGGUAACGGCGCACCUAGGCGAGGUUACAUAGCCGCCCUGAGAGGGCGAGCAGCCACCCUGGGAGGGUGACACGCCACAGACUCAUAGGGGAGGCAGCCGUAGGGAAACGUCGGCAAUGGGUGAGAGUCUGACCGCGAAACGCCGAGGGCGUGAAGAAGGUCUCCGGGUCGUAAAGGUCUGUUGUCAGGGAAGAACGGGUGUGAGCGUGGAACGAUCACACUGUGACGGUAACUGAUAAGAAAGCGACGGCUAACUACGUG